GACGAACGCUGGCGGCGUGCUUAACACAUGCAAGUCGAGCGGAAAGGCCCUGCUUUUGUGGGGUGCUCGAGUGGCGAACGGGUGAGUAACACGUGAGUAACCUGCCCUUGACUUUGGGAUAACUUCAGGAAACUGGGGCUAAUACCGGAUAGGAGCUCCUGCUGCAUGGUGGGGGUUGGAAAGUUUCGGCGGUUGGGGAUGGACUCGCGGCUUAUCAGCUUGUUGGUGGGGUAGUGGCUUACCAAGGCUUUGACGGGUAGCCGGCCUGAGAGGGUGACCGGCCACAUUGGGACUGAGGUACGGCCCAGACGCCUACGGGGGGCAGCAGUGGGGAAUAUUGCACAAUGGGCGGAAGCCUGAUGCAGCAACGCCGCGUGCGGGAUGACGGCCUUCGGGUUGUAAACCGCUUUCGCCUGUGACGAAGCGUGAGUGACGGUAAUGGGUAAAGAAGCACCGGCUAACUACGUG
RNAcentral lists this ribosomal RNA (468 nucleotides) under uncultured bacterium. RNAcentral describes it as "partial 16S ribosomal RNA". It matches the Rfam family "Bacterial small subunit ribosomal RNA", at positions 28 to 507 of the family's 1533-position model. The record is from RNAcentral.